RNAcentral lists this ribosomal RNA (265 nucleotides) under Salmonella enterica subsp. enterica serovar Kentucky. Its description in RNAcentral is "partial 23S ribosomal RNA". It matches the Rfam family "Bacterial large subunit ribosomal RNA", at positions 644 to 911 of the family's 2925-position model. The record is from RNAcentral. Lineage: Bacteria; Pseudomonadati; Pseudomonadota; Gammaproteobacteria; Enterobacterales; Enterobacteriaceae.
GGUUAACCGUAUAGGGGAGCCGUAGGGAAACCGAGUCUUAACCGGGCGUUAAGUUGCAGGGUAUAGACCCGAAACCCGGUGAUCUAGCCAUGGGCAGGUUGAAGGUUGGGUAACACUAACUGGAGGACCGAACCGACUAAUGUUGAAAAAUUAGCGGAUGACCUGUGGCUGGGGGUGAAAGGCCAAUCAAACCGGGAGAUAGCUGGUUCUCCCCGAAAGCUAUUUAGGUAGCGCCUCGUGAACUCAUCUCCGGGGGUAGAGCACU